Molecule: long non-coding RNA, 1013 nt
Organism: Pipistrellus kuhlii (Kuhl's pipistrelle)
Lineage: Eukaryota; Metazoa; Chordata; Mammalia; Chiroptera; Vespertilionidae
Exons: 3
Source: RefSeq, a predicted model, not a curated record
UUUUCCCUCUAAAGACUCUGAAGUACUUAAAAUACAUAUGGUGGUAUAUAAUUACUAACCACCUAUGAAAUGCCUACUCUUUUCAUUGAAAAUGUAAUUUCAGUGUGAUUUUUUUAUGGUUUUCUUAUAAACCACUCUUAGUUUUGACUGUAUACUUAGGCACUGGGUGCAGGAGGCAAUCUUGAUUUCAUAUUACAUUUUCUCAGGAGGAGAAUGUACAUCUUUCUGCUUAUUUGUUGUUUUCUGGUGGGACUUUGACAAACAGGCCCAGAAGAAACAAAAGUAAACCUAUUUCGUAAGAAUAGAUUGCUUUAUGUUAUGCAAAUUUUCUCUAUAGUAUAUUUUGUGAAAUGUUGACAUUUUAAAAAAUGUUUACUACUAUGUAUUUUGAAAUUACUGUUUGGAUCCAAAUUAAACUUGGGUUAAACAGAUUUAUACACUACAGCAUUUUUUGAGGUCUCAAUUUUUAAAUCUGCAUCAUGCCUGAAAUAUCUUAUCCACUGAUUAAGAAGUAAAAUUGGCUCUUCAACUGUACUCUGGACACUUUAAAAUAGCAAAUUUAGUUAAAUUUUCAGUUUUAGUUUUUCUUUUUCUUCUUUGUCCUCCUGUUUCCCAUUCAUACCCCCUUCUACUUUUUUUUUUUAAAUUAGACUAUUUCAUAUAAAUGAUGAAAAAGAACUAGGGAAUUACCUGUUUUAUUUUCCUAAAUAGAUAAUUUAUAUGUAUAUUAGUAAUUUUGAGUGCUCAAAAAUUGCUUUAAGUAUUAAAUGUUAGACUGUUCAGUUUUGCAUAAGCAUUUCAUAAAAUUGUUUAGAAUUGGGUAGGUUUGCUUCUUGUUUGUUUUAGACUGAUAAUCUGAAGUUCAUAGGGGACAGGUUGUUAUCACAAACAGAUGUGACUUAGGACAUAAUUUUGAAUUUAUAAAAUGUUGCAACAUUAACACUAUUCUUAAAAAAAAAAAAAAUGGUUGGGCAUAGGUAAAAAGUUGGAUCUUAGAAAAUUGCUCCUGUAAU